GACGAACGCUGGCGGCGUGCUUAACACAUGCAAGUCGAACGGAAAGGCCCUGCUUGCAGGGUACUCGAGUGGCGAACGGGUGAGUAACACGUGGGUGAUCUGCCCUGCACUUCGGGAUAAGCUUGGGAAACUGGGUCUAAUACCGGAUAGGAACCAUCUUUAGUGUGGUGGUUGGAAAGUUUUUUCGGUGUAGGAUGAGCUCGCGGCCUAUCAGCUUGUUGGUGGGGUAAUGGCCUACCAAGGCGGCGACGGGUAGCCGGCCUGAGAGGGUGUACGGCCACAUUGGGACUGAGAUACGGCCCAGACUCCUCCGGGAGGCAGCAGUGGGGAAUAUUGCACAAUGGGCGCAAGCCUGAUGCAGCGACGCCGCGUGGGGGAUGAAGGCCUUCGGGUUGUAAACUCCUUUCGCUAGGGACGAAGCUUUUUGUGACGGUACCUAGAUAAGAAGCACCGGCUAACUACGUG
Molecule: ribosomal RNA, 465 nt
Filed under: uncultured bacterium
Lineage: Bacteria
Description: partial 16S ribosomal RNA
Rfam family: Bacterial small subunit ribosomal RNA
Source: RNAcentral